RNAcentral lists this ribosomal RNA (960 nucleotides) under Ascochyta lentis. RNAcentral describes it as "eukaryotic LSU rRNA". It matches the Rfam family "Eukaryotic large subunit ribosomal RNA", at positions 68 to 1048 of the family's 3401-position model. The record is from RNAcentral. Lineage: Eukaryota; Fungi; Ascomycota; Dothideomycetes; Pleosporales; Didymellaceae.
ACAGGGAUUGCCCUAGUAACGGCGAGUGAAGCGGCAACAGCUCAAAUUUGAAAUCUGGCGUCUUUGGCGUCCGAGUUGUAAUUUGCAGAGGGUGCUUUGGCAUUGGCAGCGGUCCAAGUUCCUUGGAACAGGACGUCACAGAGGGUGAGAAUCCCGUACGUGGUCGCUAGCCUUUACCGUGUAAAGCCCCUUCGACGAGUCGAGUUGUUUGGGAAUGCAGCUCUAAAUGGGAGGUAAAUUUCUUCUAAAGCUAAAUACUGGCCAGAGACCGAUAGCGCACAAGUAGAGUGAUCGAAAGAUGAAAAGCACUUUGGAAAGAGAGUUAAAAAGCACGUGAAAUUGUUGAAAGGGAAGCGCUUGCAGCCAGACUUGCCUGUAGUUGCUCAUCCGGGUUUCUACCCGGUGCACUCUUCUAUAGGCAGGCCAGCAUCAGUUUGGGCGGUUGGAUAAAGGUCUCUGUCAUGUACCUCUCUUCGGGGAGAACUUAUAGGGGAGACGACAUGCAACCAGCCUGGACUGAGGUCCGCGCAUCUGCUAGGAUGCUGGCGUAAUGGCUGUAAGCGGCCCGUCUUGAAACACGGACCAAGGAGUCUAACAUCUAUGCGAGUGUUUGGGUGUCAAGCCCGAGCGCGUAAUGAAAGUGAACGGAGGUGGGAACCUUUCGGGGUGCACCAUCGACCGAUCCUGAUGUCUUCGGAUGGAUUUGAGUAAGAGCAUAGCUGUUGGGACCCGAAAGAUGGUGAACUAUGCUUGAAUAGGGUGAAGCCAGAGGAAACUCUGGUGGAGGCUCGCAGCGGUUCUGACGUGCAAAUCGAUCGUCAAAUUUGGGCAUAGGGGCGAAAGACUAAUCGAACUAUCUAGUAGCUGGUUCCUGCCGAAGUUUCCCUCAGGAUAGCAGUAACGUUUUCAGUUUUAUGAGGUAAAGCGAAUGAUUAGAGGCCUGGGGGUUGAAACAACCUU